Molecule: unclassified non-coding RNA, 219 nt
Filed under: uncultured Tomentella
Lineage: Eukaryota; Fungi; Basidiomycota; Agaricomycetes; Thelephorales; Thelephoraceae
Also listed under: 1 other name
Description: sequence contains ITS2
Source: RNAcentral
ACACCUCAACUCUCCCGGUUUGCCGUGAUGAGCUUGGACUUUUGGGGGUUUUGCUGGCCUACGGUCGGCUCCUCUGAAACGGAUCAGCUUGCCAGUGUUUGGCGGCGUCACGGGUGUGAUAACUAUCUACGCUUGUGAUUGCUUGCUGAGCAACCUCUGGAGACGGAGGUUCGCUGGAGCUUAUAAAUGUCUCUCCUCAGCGAAGACAGCUUUUUGACC